RNAcentral lists this microRNA precursor (89 nucleotides) under Loxodonta africana (African savanna elephant). Its description in RNAcentral is "miRNA (ENSLAFG00000029600.1)". The record is from RNAcentral. Lineage: Eukaryota; Metazoa; Chordata; Mammalia; Proboscidea; Elephantidae.
CUGCGGCGGGUGUGAGUGUGUGUGAGUGUGUGUGAGUGUGUGUGGGGUGUGCGCGCGUGGCGGCCGACACCCGCAGGCCCGGGCUCAGG